Molecule: ribosomal RNA, 468 nt
Filed under: uncultured bacterium
Lineage: Bacteria
Description: partial 16S ribosomal RNA
Rfam family: Bacterial small subunit ribosomal RNA
Source: RNAcentral
GAUGAACGCUGGCGGCGUGCUUAACACAUGCAAGUCGAACGGACAGGCCCUGCGCUUGUUGGGUUCUCGUUUGCCGCACGCGUGUGUAACACGCGAGUAUCCUCCCCUUAUCUUUCGGGUAUCUUUACGAAACUGGGGCUCAUAUCGCAUAUGAUCUCCUGCUCCACGUUGUUCAUUGGAUAGUUUCGGCGGUUGGGGAUGGACUCGCUGCUUAUCCGCUUGUUGGUGGGGUUGUGGCUUUCCAAGGGUCUGACGGGUAGCCGGCCUGAGAGGCUAACCGGCGACAUGGGGACUGAGAUACGGCCCAGACGCCAACGGGAGGCAGCAGUGGGGAAUAUUGCACAAUGGGCGGAAGCCUGAUGCAGCAACGCCGCGUGCGGGAUGACGGCCUUCGGGUUGUAAACCGCUUUCGCCUGUGACGAAGCGUGAGUGACGGUAAUGGGUAAAGAAGCACCGGCUAACUACGUG